Molecule: long non-coding RNA, 1074 nt
Organism: Vicia villosa (hairy vetch)
Lineage: Eukaryota; Viridiplantae; Streptophyta; Magnoliopsida; Fabales; Fabaceae
Exons: 3
Source: RefSeq, a predicted model, not a curated record
AACAUCUUAACUCUCCCACAACACCACCAUCAUCACAAACAACCCCAUUUUGUGAAUUUUCUUCAGCUAUUCUUUAUUUCCCAGAACUACUUUCCUUCCUGUUUUUCUUUCUCUCAAGCGCAUACAGCUUUUCUCAAGGAUACUUUUCACAUUAAGGAUUUCCCGGUUCAUUAUGUGGCCAAGAGUGAUUAUUACUUUUACAACUUUCUAUCAUAUAAACUUAUCAUUUAUCAUUUACUAGAUUGAUGGUAAAUGAUAUACUUUAUUAUUUGGUUAAGCAAUUAUGAUUUCAUUGAUUAAACAAAGCUAAAGAGAUGAGUCCUGAAAACAAGAGAGACGCUGAGUUUGGUUAUGGAGUGGGUGAAGUUGAUUCCUCAAUGCUUUGCAUCCUGGCUUAAUAUAUGACACUAAGUAAGAGGAUUAUAUUAAACUUUUAUGCGGACAUGGCUUCACUACAACCGCUCUACAAUCAAUCACAGGAGAUAAUAGCAAUUGCUCGAAAAUAACUCCUACAUCAGCAACAAAUUUGAACUAGCGAGCAGCUGCUUUAAAAUUUACACAUCCUAAACAACAUGUUUGUGUGAGGAAGAUUUCAUAGGACUGUCAUCAAUGUUGGAACAUCUGUCUCUACUUAUAGAGCAAUUGUGACAGCGCCUAAAAGAUUACACAUAUGUUGUCAUUAUUGAUGGAGUAUUGAAGAAAUCUAUUGAGUCAACUUCUCUACAUUAGGUUGAUGGAAAUUUUAAAGUGAGAAGUUCAAUAGUGCUUUUCAACGAACGAGUCGAGAAAGUCGCAACAUCUCCAAGUUUCUAUCAUCGAAAUAGUUCUUUUCAACGAAGGAGUCGAGAAAGUCGCAACACCUCCAAAUUUUUGUCAUCAAAAUAGUUCUUUUCAACAAACGAGUCGAGAAAAUCACAACACCUCCAAAUUUCUAUCAUUAUUAUUUAUUGUUGUUGUUAUUUUUAGUUUUUUAUUUUUAUUUUUUCUAUAAUUAUAUUGCUAGAUAUUUAUAGAGCAUUAAAGAAAUGUAAAAGUAAAUAUUUAUAUUAGUAUAAAAUAAAUGAUAUAUUUUCA